Molecule: small nucleolar RNA, 136 nt
Organism: Thalassophryne amazonica
Lineage: Eukaryota; Metazoa; Chordata; Actinopteri; Batrachoidiformes; Batrachoididae
Product: small nucleolar RNA SNORD94
Exons: 1
Source: RefSeq, a predicted model, not a curated record
UUGGCAAUGAUGAGAAGCGCAGGGGUACGGACCUCAGCUAGUGAUGGGGGCUGAGUGCCGCUGUGUGUCGUGUUCAGAGGGCGAGUGGCUCACUGACAGACGGCAGCAGCACGAAACAGACGCCUGACUGAGCCAC